Molecule: long non-coding RNA, 223 nt
Filed under: Capsicum annuum
Lineage: Eukaryota; Viridiplantae; Streptophyta; Magnoliopsida; Solanales; Solanaceae
Description: long non-coding RNA (CANN_LNC006813)
Source: RNAcentral
AAGUCUUGUGACAAACGAAGCCCAAGUUAGGGAGGCUAUUUAAGCCAAUGGUUUAACAUUAUAUUGGGCCAAGAUGUUCAGCCCAAGAUUUUUAUAUAAUAGGCCCAACUACAUUCAUUCACUACUAACAAAAUUGGGCCCAAACAAAGUGCAAGAAAGAUUAAGGAAAUGGGCCACUAAAGCCCAUUGAUUUAGAGAUCCAAAAGGCCCAAGUGAAAGGGGA